UUAUAGCUUCUUAUUUUCUUUAGUAAUUUCUUGUUAAGUUGUUAGUUUUUUUUUUAAUUUUUUUAUGUUGACAAUAAGACUUUGAUUUUCUUAAUGACCCAGUUCUUUCCAAGGUGGAUGUUGUGUGAACGAGGUGGCUCUUUCCAACGAUGGAUAGCAUGACAAACUUCUUAAGGGAUUGAGUCAGUUUUCUAUAUGUUUUUGUGUAAAUAGUAGUAAUGAAUAACAAUGUCUCAGGCAAACUUCACUU
Molecule: long non-coding RNA, 250 nt
Filed under: Nicotiana benthamiana
Lineage: Eukaryota; Viridiplantae; Streptophyta; Magnoliopsida; Solanales; Solanaceae
Description: long non-coding RNA (NBEN_LNC034344)
Source: RNAcentral